ACUCCUACGGGAGGCAGCAGUGGGGAAUAUUGCACAAUGGGCGCAAGCCUGAUGCAGCCAUGCCGCGUGUGUGAAGAAGGCCUUCGGGUUGUAAAGCACUUUCAGUCGUGAGGAAGGUAGUGUAGUUAAUAGCUGCAUUAUUUGACGUUAGCGACAGAAGAAGCACCGGCUAACUCCGUGCCAGCAGCCGCGGUAAUACGGAGGGUGCGAGCGUUAAUCGGAAUUACUGGGCGUAAAGCGCAUGCAGGUGGUUUGUUAAGUCAGAUGUGAAAGCCCGGGGCUCAACCUCGGAAUAGCAUUUGAAACUGGCAGACUAGAGUACUGUAGAGGGGGGUAGAAUUUCAGGUGUAGCGGUGAAAUGCGUAGAGAUCUGAAGGAAUACCGGUGGCGAAGGCGGCCCCCUGGGACAGAUACUGACACUCAGAUGCGAAAGCGUGGGGAGCAAACAGGAUUAGAUACCCUGGUAGGAUAGCG
This 474-nucleotide ribosomal RNA is filed under the name uncultured bacterium. RNAcentral's name for it is "bacterial SSU rRNA". It matches the Rfam family "Bacterial small subunit ribosomal RNA", at positions 335 to 799 of the family's 1533-position model. The record is from RNAcentral.